UACGAAGGUGGCAAGCGUUAUUCGGAUUUACUGGGCGUACAGGGAGCGUAGGCGGUUCGGUAAGCCCUUUGUGAAAUCUCCAGGCUUAACCUGGAACAGUCGGAGGGGACUGCCGGGCUAGAGGACGGGAGAGGAUGAGGGAAUUCCUGGUGUAGCGGUGAAAUGCGUAGAUAUCAGGAGGAACACCGGUGGCGAAGGCGCUCAUCUGGCCCAAUACUGACGCUGAGGCGCGAAAGCUAGGGGAGCAAACGGG
RNAcentral lists this ribosomal RNA (253 nucleotides) under uncultured prokaryote. RNAcentral describes it as "partial 16S ribosomal RNA". It matches the Rfam family "Bacterial small subunit ribosomal RNA", at positions 524 to 776 of the family's 1533-position model. The record is from RNAcentral.